GGGGGCGCAAUGGUUUCGACGGGGGCAAGUUGCUCCUGGGAAGCGAGUCGAAGGGAUCCUGUACCUGCGUUAAAAAACUGGGAACUUAAAUAUAAUUGCAAACGAUAAUUUUGCAUUAGCUGCCUAAUAGUUGCAGCUCGUCAGCCUAAGAGUCCCACGACUUAGGGUCUGGCGUCGACAGUGGGGAACCGAGCCUUACAAAGCUUUGAGUAAGGAACGGAAUUAAUGAAGCUACUGAAUCUAAGAGCCUGUUUAUCGGCGCUUAGAGGAGGGAAUGUAAAAGGAUAAACUGCACUCGGAGAUGCCCAGGGGUUGCUGCUUUCGGACAGGGGUUCGAUUCCCCUCGCUUCCACCA
RNAcentral lists this transfer-messenger RNA (355 nucleotides) under Clostridium botulinum. It matches the Rfam family "transfer-messenger RNA". Rfam says of the family: Bacterial tmRNA, also known as 10Sa RNA or SsrA, is named for its dual tRNA and mRNA-like properties. The record is from RNAcentral. Lineage: Bacteria; Bacillati; Bacillota; Clostridia; Eubacteriales; Clostridiaceae.